CCUCAAUCCUAUGCUGCUAACAGUCCCCUGC
This 31-nucleotide non-coding RNA is filed under the name Homo sapiens (human). The record is from RNAcentral. Lineage: Eukaryota; Metazoa; Chordata; Mammalia; Primates; Hominidae.